AGGCGGGACUUCCGGCUGGCUCUUCCAUCAGCUGCCUUCCCCGGGCGUCUCCCCGCAACCUCCUCAACUUCCCUAGUCAGUGACGAGGCGCCGGCCAGAAAUCCGACCGGACCGGGCUCGGGGGAGCGUGAGCUGCAGUUAAAAGAAGAUGGAUGCACAGUGUUCAGCCAAGGUCAAUGCAAGGAAGAGGAGAAAAGAGGCGCCCGGACCCAACGGGGCAACAGAGGAAGAUGGGGUUCCUUCCAAAGUGCAGCGCUGUGCAGUGGGCUUACGGCAACCAGCUCCUUUUUCUGAUGAAAUUGAAGUUGACUUUAGUAAGCCCUAUGUCAGGGUAACUAUGGAAGAAGCCAGCAGAGGAACUCCUUGUGAGCGACCUGUGAGAGUUUAUGCUGAUGGAAUAUUUGACUUAUUUCACUCUGGUCACGCCCGAGCUCUGAUGCAAGCAAAGAACCUUUUCCCUAAUACAUACCUCAUUGUGGGAGGUAAGAAAACAUUUGAUGACUUCAGGUGCUAUGCAGAAAAAGAUGAUAGUAGAGUCUGUCUUUCUCUUCUGUCUUUAUAACCUGAGUACACUGGCUCUUGUUUCCAUUUUUAAAUGAAGGAUGUAGUACAGCCUCUCUAAAACACAUGAAGUAUAUGGGGUACCAGCAAACUAAACCUGGAGAGAGGAGCUUCAAGCUCAUUGACUGUGACGUCUGACAUUUAUCUCACUGAUUUUAGCUGAGUUUCUGCAGUCACAGGAGCAACAAUGACUUCUGUUGUCCACUUUAAAAACAUUUGCUUUAGAUUUCAGUUUAUCAUUUUGAAUAAACUGGAGUACAAAAGUCUGCCAAGGAAAUGUUAGGUGGUCCAGUCCAGUGUGAAUAAAACAGGAAAACAUGUUUAAGGACUUAACUGAUGCAGACAUGCACAGCAGGUUUAUUUCAGAGUCGAAGAUCUUGGUCAUCUGUUGUACCGUCCCUUCUCCAAAGUAUGAACAUACUAUUGAGUGAGUGUUGCUCCUGAAGGUAUAUGCUGCAUUAGGAAAAGUGUUGUUACCCAGGUUCAACUACCUUUAGAAGACUUUUCUCCAGUUGGGGAAGAUGGUUGCAGUCCUAAGCAGUGGGAGAAGAUGGGAGAGGUCGGUGGCUGAGGAGUUGCUAAGCAAAGAGGACUCCGACCCACAAUUUAUGAUGUGGUGAACUCAGUUUGCAGUGAUGAGCUCACACACAACUUCAAAGGCUUCACGGUGAUGAACGAGAAUGAGCGCUAUGACGCAGUCCAGCACUGCCGCUACGUGGAUGAGGUGGUGAGGAAUGCGCCCUGGACGCUGACACCCGAGUUCCUGGCCGAACACCGGAUUGAUUUUGUAGCCCAUGAUGAUAUUCCUUAUUCAUCUGCUGGAAGUGAUGAUGUUUAUAAGCACAUCAA
RNAcentral lists this small RNA (1410 nucleotides) under Pongo abelii (Sumatran orangutan). RNAcentral's name for it is "retained intron". Lineage: Eukaryota; Metazoa; Chordata; Mammalia; Primates; Hominidae. The record is from RNAcentral.